This 320-nucleotide ribosomal RNA is filed under the name uncultured eukaryote. Its description in RNAcentral is "partial 18S ribosomal RNA". It matches the Rfam family "Eukaryotic small subunit ribosomal RNA", at positions 1470 to 1796 of the family's 1831-position model. The record is from RNAcentral.
CCCCUAGAUGUUCUGGGCCGCACGCGCGCUACACUGAACAGUUCAACAAGUCUUAACCUUGGCCGAUAGGUCUGGGUAAUCUUUGAACGCUGUUCGUGAUUGGGAUAGACCUUUGCAAUUAUGGGUCUUCAACGAGGAAUUCCUAGUAAACGCAAGUCAGCAGCUUGCAUUGAUUACGUCCCUGCCCUUUGUACACACCGCCCGUCGCACCUACCGAUUGAAUGGUCCGGUGAAAUCUCGGGACGGCGGCUUGGUCGCUUGCGUCCGACUGCUGAAACUUGAUUAAACCAUAUCAUUUAGAGGAAGGUGAANUCGUAACA